AUUGAACGCUGGCGGCAGGCCUAACACAUGCAAGUCGAGCGGAUGAAGGGAGCUUGCUCCUGGAUUCAGCGGCGGACGGGUGAGUAAUGCCUAGGAAUCUGCCUGGUAGUGGGGGAUAACGUCCGGAAACGGGCGCCAAUACCGCAUACGUCCUGAGGGAGAAAGUGGGGGAUCUUCGGACCUCACGCUAUCAGAUGAGCCUAGGUCGGAUUAGCUAGUUGGUGGGGUAAAGGCCUACCAAGGCGACGAUCCGUAACUGGUCUGAGAGGAUGAUCAGUCACACUGGAACUGAGACACGGUCCAGACUCCUACGGGAGGCAGCAGUGGGGAAUAUUGGACAAUGGGCGAAAGCCUGAUCCAGCCAUGCCGCGUGUGUGAAGAAGGUCUUCGGAUUUUAAAGCACUUUAAGUUGGGAGGAAGGGCAGUAAGUUAAUACCUUGCUGUUUUGACGUUACCAACAGAAUAAGCACCAGCUAACUUCGUG
Molecule: ribosomal RNA, 484 nt
Filed under: uncultured bacterium
Lineage: Bacteria
Description: partial 16S ribosomal RNA
Rfam family: Bacterial small subunit ribosomal RNA
Source: RNAcentral